UUGCUAUUCAGCACUCAUGGCUCAAGCGGGCGACUUCACAUUGAAUAUUCAACAAAAGUUGAAAAUUUUAUACAUUCUAGAAAGAUGUUCAUACAAUGGCGUUAGAAUUGGCGACUUAUGUUUCAUCCAAAAGUCACUCAUUAUCCAUUUUUUUCUUGAGAAUGCAUCAACCAUAUUGUUGUUGGUUGUUAAUUUACGUUCAUUGCAAGAUGGUUCCUACAAAGGAUGAUGGACUUACAGCGCGCUCGCUACUAACUACUGCUGAGUUUUGCUCAAUAAAGAGAUUAUUUAUUUCACGAUUGGAACUGUUAGAAUUAUGGAAUGAUUUUGA
Tetranychus urticae (two-spotted spider mite) is the source of this 331-nucleotide non-coding RNA. NCBI's taxonomy places the organism in Eukaryota, Metazoa, Arthropoda, Arachnida, Trombidiformes, Tetranychidae. The record is from RefSeq and is a predicted model, not a curated record.